Molecule: ribosomal RNA, 422 nt
Filed under: uncultured archaeon
Lineage: Archaea
Description: partial 16S ribosomal RNA
Rfam family: Archaeal small subunit ribosomal RNA
Source: RNAcentral
CUACGGGAUGCAGCAGGCGAGAAAACUUUGCAAUGUGCGAAAGCACGACAAGGUUAAUCCGAGUGGUUUCUGCUAAAGGAACCUUUUGACAGUCCUAGAAACACUGUUGAAUAAGGGGUGGGCAAGUUCUGGUGUCAGCCGCCGCGGUAAAACCAGCACCUCAAGUGGUCAGGAUGAUUAUUGGGCCUAAAGCAUCCGUAGCCGGCUCUGUAAGUUUUCGGUUAAAUCUGUACGCUCAACGUACAGGCUGCCGGGAAUACUGCAGAGCUAGGGAGUGGGAGAGGUAGACGGUACUCGGUAGGAAGGGGUAAAAUCCUUUGAUCUAUUGAUGGCCACCUGUGGCGAAGGCGGUCUACCAGAACACGUCCGACGGUGAGGGAUGAAAGCUGGGGGAGCAAACCGGAUUAGAUACCCCCGUAGUC